AUUGAACGCUGGCGGCAGGCCUAACACAUGCAAGUCGAGCGGAGCGGCGGACGGGUGAGUAAUGCCUAGGAAUCUGCCUGGUAGUGGGGGAUAACGACCGGAAACGGGCGCUAAUACCGCAUCCUAUCAGAUGAGACGAGGUCGGAUUAGUUAGGUGGUGGGUUAAAGGCCUACACAGGCGAGGAUCCGUAACUGGUCUGAGAGGAUGAUCAGUCACACUGGAACUGAGACACGGCCCAGACUCCUACGGGAGGCAGCGUUGGGGAAUAUUGGACAAUGUUCGAAAGCCUGAUCCAGCCAUGCCGCGUGUGUGAAGAAGGUCUUCGGAUUGUAAAGCACUUUAAGUUGGGAGGCGUUACCAACAGAAUAAGCACCGGCUAACUUCGUGCCAGCAGCCGCGGUAAUAC
Molecule: ribosomal RNA, 407 nt
Filed under: uncultured bacterium
Lineage: Bacteria
Description: partial 16S ribosomal RNA
Rfam family: Bacterial small subunit ribosomal RNA
Source: RNAcentral